GAUGCUGUCGGCUUCCCUGGUGGUCUAGUGGUUAGGAUUCGGCGCUCUCACCGCCGCGGCCCGGGUUCGAUUCCCGGUC
This 79-nucleotide transfer RNA is filed under the name Notamacropus eugenii (tammar wallaby). RNAcentral's name for it is "miRNA (ENSMEUG00000017923.1)". The stretch from base 14 to 79 matches the Rfam family "tRNA". Rfam says of the family: Transfer RNA (tRNA) molecules are approximately 80 nucleotides in length. Their secondary structure includes four short double-helical elements and three loops (D, anti-codon, and T loops). Lineage: Eukaryota; Metazoa; Chordata; Mammalia; Diprotodontia; Macropodidae. The record is from RNAcentral.